AUGUAUGUAUAUGUGUGAGUGUAUGAACAACAUAUGUACAUAAGAAAGCUGAGAAAUUGAAAUGCGAAGUUCGGAAGUUCGAAAAGUGUGGAGAAAGAAAUAGCAAAACCAAUGAAUCGCAAUGAGACUAUUGAAUUAUAUGGAAAACUAGAGGUACCAAUAAUUGUUAACUGGUUUUACCAUAAAAGUCGCGACUUAGGCUAAGCGGGGAUAGCACCCUAUAAAUCAGUCAAGUCAUUUCCUGGUGAUACCUGUACCCCCGGAGGAAGCCGUUCAUUAUGGCGUUGGAUAUAUGACUAUGCCUCUUAGACCA
Long non-coding RNA from Drosophila eugracilis, 313 nucleotides. RefSeq lists it as uncharacterized. The record is from RefSeq and is a predicted model, not a curated record. NCBI's taxonomy places the organism in Eukaryota, Metazoa, Arthropoda, Insecta, Diptera, Drosophilidae. The transcript is spliced from 3 exons.